Molecule: ribosomal RNA, 1475 nt
Filed under: metagenome
Description: bacterial SSU rRNA
Rfam family: Bacterial small subunit ribosomal RNA
Source: RNAcentral
AGAGUUUGAUCAUGGCUCAGGACGAACGCUGGCGGCGCGCCUAACACAUGCAAGUCGAACGAGCGAGAGAGAGCUUGCUUUCUCGAGCGAGUGGCGAACGGGUGAGUAACGCGUGAGGAACCUGCCUCAAAGAGGGGGACAACAGUUGGAAACGACUGCUAAUACCGCAUAAGCCCACGACCCGGCAUCGGGUUGAGGGAAAAGGAGUGAUCCGCUUUGAGAUGGCCUCGCGUCCGAUUAGCUAGUUGGUGAGGUAACGGCCCACCAAGGCGACGAUCGGUAGCCGGACUGAGAGGUUGAACGGCCACAUUGGGACUGAGACACGGCCCAGACUCCUACGGGAGGCAGCAGUGGGGAAUAUUGCACAAUGGGGGAAACCCUGAUGCAGCGACGCCGCGUGGAGGAAGAAGGUCUUCGGAUUGUAAACUCCUGUUGUUGGGGAAGAUAAUGACGGUACCCAACAAGGAAGUGACGGCCAACUACGUGCCAGCAGCCGCGGUAAAACGUAGGUCACAAGCGUUGUCCGGAAUUACUGGGUGUAAAGGGAGCGCAGGCGGGAAGACAAGUUGGAAGUGAAAUCCAUGGGCUCAACCCAUGAACUGCUUUCAAAACUGUUUUUCUUGAGUAGUGCAGAUGUAGGCGGAAUUCCCGGUGUAGCGGUGGAAUGCGUAGAUAUCGGGAGGAACACCAGUGGCGAAGGCGGCCUACUGGGCACCAACUGACGCUGAGGCUCGAAAGUGUGGGUAGCAAACAGGAUUAGAUACCCUGGUAGUCCACACCGUAAACGAUGAUUACUAGGUGUUGGAGGAUUGACCCCUUCAGUGCCGCAGUUAACACAAUAAGUAAUCCACCUGGGGAGUACGACCGCAAGGUUGAAACUCAAAGGAAUUGACGGGGGCCCGCACAAGCAGUGGAGUAUGUGGUUUAAUUCGAAGCAACGCGAAGAACCUUACCAAAUCUUGACAUCCCGGUGACAAACUGUGUAUAGCAAUCUUUCUUCGGAACACCGGUGACAGGUGGUGCAUGGUUGUCGUCAGCUCGUGUCGUGAGAUGUUGGGUUAAGUCCCGCAACGAGCGCAACCCCUAUCCUUAGUAGCCAGCAGUAAGAUGGGCACUCUAGGCAGACUGCCGGGGAUAACCCGGAGGAAGGUGGGGAUGACGUCAAAUCAUCAUGCCCCUUAUGAUUUGGGCUACACACGUGCUACAAUGGCGUAAACAAAGGGAAGCGAGCCUGUGAGGGGGAGCAAAUCCCAAAAAUAACGUCUCAGUUCGGAUUGUAGUCUGCAACUCGACUACAUGAAGCUGGAAUCGCUAGUAAUCGCAGAUCAGAAUGCUGCGGUGAAUACGUUCCCGGGUCUUGUACACACCGCCCGUCACACCAUGGGAGUCGGAAAUGCCCGAAGCCGGUGACCUAACCGCAAGGAAGGAGCCGUCGAAGGCAGGUCUGAUAACUGGGGUGAAGUCGUAACAAGGUA